Molecule: ribosomal RNA, 490 nt
Filed under: uncultured bacterium
Lineage: Bacteria
Description: partial 16S ribosomal RNA
Rfam family: Bacterial small subunit ribosomal RNA
Source: RNAcentral
AUUGAACGCUGGCGGCAGGCCUAACACAUGCAAGUCGAACGGUAACAGGAAGAAGCUUGCUUCUUUGCUGACGAGUGGCGGACGGGUGAGUAAUGUCUGGGAAACUGCCUGAUGGAGGGGGAUAACUACUGGAAACGGUAGCUAAUACCGCAUAACGUCGCAAGACCAAAGAGGGGGACCUUCGGGCCUCUUGCCAUCGGAUGUGCCCAGAUGGGAUUAGCUUGUUGGUGGGGUAACGGCUCACCAAGGCGACGAUCCCUAGCUGGUCUGAGAGGAUGACCAGCCACACUGGAACUGAGACACGGUCCAGACUCCUACGGGAGGCAGCAGUGGGGAAUAUUGCACAAUGGGCGCAAGCCUGAUGCAGCCAUGCCGCGUGUAUGAAGAAGGCCUUCGGGUUGUAAAGUACUUUCAGCGGGGAGGAGGGGAGUAAAGUUAAUACCUUUGCUCAUUGACGUUACCCGCAGAAGAAGCACCGGCUAACUCCGUG